UAUGACAGAUUAUAUGUAAUAGAUUUAAAACCUAUUUAUAAAGGAUNNAUCCUUUUUUUAGAAA
This 64-nucleotide transfer RNA is filed under the name Cecidoses eremita. RNAcentral describes it as "tRNA-Leu". Lineage: Eukaryota; Metazoa; Arthropoda; Insecta; Lepidoptera; Cecidosidae. The record is from RNAcentral.